Molecule: unclassified non-coding RNA, 105 nt
Organism: Ursus americanus (American black bear)
Lineage: Eukaryota; Metazoa; Chordata; Mammalia; Carnivora; Ursidae
Rfam family: Y RNA
About the family: Y RNAs are components of the Ro ribonucleoprotein particle (Ro RNP), in association with Ro60 and La proteins. The Y RNAs and Ro60 and La proteins are well conserved, but the function of the Ro RNP is not known.
Source: Ensembl
GGCUGGUCCAAAGAUAGUGAGUUAUCUCAAUUGAUUGUUCACAGUUACAGAUUGAACUCAUUCUACUCUUUCUCCCUUUUCACUACUGCACUUGACUAGUCUUAA